Long non-coding RNA from Pristis pectinata (smalltooth sawfish), 625 nucleotides. RefSeq lists it as uncharacterized. The record is from RefSeq and is a predicted model, not a curated record. The transcript is spliced from 3 exons. NCBI's taxonomy places the organism in Eukaryota, Metazoa, Chordata, Chondrichthyes, Rhinopristiformes, Pristidae.
GGGGGGAGUUGCAAAUAACUGGUGUUCUGGAACUGCAGUAAGUGCGAAUGGAUGAAGUUCUUCAGUUUAUCUCUGAGCCAGGUGGAGACAAUUGUUCAACUUUUGCCGAGCCUCUCCUGUCCCAGACAUGCUCCUCCACCUCCAAGUGCAAUAUCCUCUGGUUUACCUGGACACAUUCAUCUCGAGAGACUCCGUGUAUCCGAAUGUUCAAGCAGCCACCUGAAAUGGCCAAGGAUUGAUCAGACUCAAGUGGAAUUUGGAAUUGAGGCCCAGGAGUUAAAGUGAUCCAGGCUUCACUUGAGUGUAUCCAGAUUACUUCUGGCUCAGAAUAAUAGAAGAGCUACUGGACCCUCCUCCCACCCUGAUUGGUGACUGAGCAUUCUGGCAGCAUGAUGAUCGAACAGAAGGAGCCAGCCUUCAGAAUAGUUGUAGCAAGAGAAAAGGAGAAAAAAAAAACAGAAAGAGGAAAGGGAAGAAAGGAAGAAAGAGAAGGGGAAAGAAGGAAGGAAGAGUGAAAUAUGGAUGAAAAUAAAGAAGGAAAGGAGUGAAAACAAGAAAAACUUAACACCUUUCAGAAUGUCCUGAAAUCCUUUACAGCCAAUUAAGCAUAUUUCCCAAAAAAAUG